UCGGCUUAGAGUUUGAUCAUGGCUCAGAUUGAACGCUGGCGGCAUGCUUUACACAUGCAAGUCGAACGGCAAUGGGCUUCGGCCUGAGCGAGUGGCGAACGGGUGAGUAAUACAUCGGAACAUGCCUAGUUGUGGGGGACAACUACUCGAAAGAGUAGCUAAUACCGCAUAAGAUCUACGGAUGAAAGCAGUUCGUUGCGCAAUUAGAGUGGCCGAUGGCAGAUUAGGUAGUUGGUGAGGUAAAGGCUCACCAAGCCUGCGAUCUGUAGCUGGUCUGAGAGGACGACCAGCCACACUGGGACUGAGACACGGCCCAGACUCCUACGGGAGGCAGCAGUGGGGAAUUUUGGACAAUGGGCGCAAGCCUGAUCCAGCAAUGCCGCGUGCAGGACGAAGGCCUUCGGGUUGUAAACUGCUUUUGUACAGAACGAAAGUCACUGGGUAAUCCUGGUGCAUGACGGUACUGUAAGAAUAAGCACCGGCUAACUACGUGCCAGCAGCCGCGGUAAUACGUAGGGUGCAAGCGUUAAUCGGAAUUACUGGGCGUAAGGCGUGCGCAGGCGGCUAUGCAAGACUGAUGUGAAAUCCCCGGGCUCAACCUGGGAACUGCAUUAGUGACUGCAUAGCUGGAGUGCGGCAGAGGGGGAUGGAAUUCCGCGUGUAGCAGUGAAAUGCGUAGAUAUGCGGAGGAACACCGAUGGCGAAGGCAAUCCCCUGGGCCUCACUGACGCUCAU
This 735-nucleotide ribosomal RNA is filed under the name uncultured Comamonadaceae bacterium. RNAcentral describes it as "bacterial SSU rRNA". It matches the Rfam family "Bacterial small subunit ribosomal RNA", at positions 1 to 750 of the family's 1533-position model. The record is from RNAcentral. Lineage: Bacteria; Pseudomonadati; Pseudomonadota; Betaproteobacteria; Burkholderiales; Comamonadaceae.